UUCUAUAGACCAGUAUGACGGCUAAAUGAGAACAAACCUGUCUCCUAUGACCCAUCAGUGAAACUGAUCUCUCAGUCCAAAAGCUGAAAUACACACACAAGACGAGAAGACCCUGUGGAGCUUAAAGCAACCUACUAAUUAAACACUAGUAAAAACUUUAAGUUGGGGCGACUUCGGAACAAAUAAAAACUUCCGAGCACAUGAACCACCACUUCCAACCAAGGCCAACAAGCCAAAGCAAAAAAUGACCCAGUCUCACUGAUCAACGAACCAAGUUACCCCAGGGAUAACAGCGCUAUCUUCUUCAAGAGUCCAUAUCGACAAGAAGGUUUACGACCUCGAUGUUGGAUCAGGACACCCAAAUGGUGCAGCCGCUAUUAAAGGUUCGUUUGUUCAACGAUUAACAGUCCUACGUGAUCUGAGUUAGACCGGAGA
RNAcentral lists this ribosomal RNA (435 nucleotides) under Lipinia vittigera. Its description in RNAcentral is "partial 16S ribosomal RNA". It matches the Rfam family "Bacterial large subunit ribosomal RNA", at positions 1978 to 2622 of the family's 2925-position model. The record is from RNAcentral. Lineage: Eukaryota; Metazoa; Chordata; Lepidosauria; Squamata; Scincidae.